CUAACACAUGCAAGUCGAACGGUAACAGGAAGCAGCUUGCUGCUUCGCUGACGAGUGGCGGACGGGUGAGUAAUGUCUGGGAAGCUGCCUGAUGGAGGGGGAUAACUACUGGAAACGGUAGCUAAUACCGCAUAAUGUCGCAAGACCAAAGAGGGGGACCUUCGGGCCUCUUGCCAUCGGAUGUGCCCAGAUGGGAUUAGCUUGUUGGUGGGGUAACGGCUCACCAAGGCGACGAUCCCUAGCUGGUCUGAGAGGAUGACCAGCCACACUGGAACUGAGACACGGUCCAGACUCCUACGGGAGGCAGCAGUGGGGAAUAUUGCACAAUGGGCGCAAGCCUGAUGCAGCCAUGCCGCGUGUAUGAAGAAGGCCUUCGGGUUGUAAAGUACUUUCAGCGGGGAGGAAGGGAGUAAAGUUAAUACCUUUGCUCAUUGACGUUACCCGCAGAAGAAGCACCGGCUAACUCCGUGCCAGCAGCCGCGGUAAUACGGAGGGUGCAAGCGUUAAUCGGAAUUACUGGGCGUAAAGCGCACGCAGGCGGUUUGUUAAGUCAGAUGUGAAAUCCCCGGGCUCAACCUGGGAACUGCAUCUGAUACUGGCAAGCUUGAGUCUCGUAGAGGGGGGUAGAAUUCCAGGUGUAGCGGUGAAAUGCGUAGAGAUCUGGAGGAAUACCGGUGGCGAAGG
Molecule: ribosomal RNA, 684 nt
Filed under: uncultured Pseudomonadota bacterium
Lineage: Bacteria; Pseudomonadati; Pseudomonadota
Description: bacterial SSU rRNA
Rfam family: Bacterial small subunit ribosomal RNA
Source: RNAcentral